Homo sapiens (human) is the source of this 924-nucleotide long non-coding RNA. Lineage: Eukaryota; Metazoa; Chordata; Mammalia; Primates; Hominidae. The record is from Ensembl.
GCUGUUUUACGUCCUCCACCUCGGGAGCCCCCGGUGACUGUCACAGCCUCUUGCCCUGUGAUCUGCAGGUUCUGGGAGACGCACAGCUAAGAUGCCAGGACAUCCUGGAAGCUGGGAAAAGAUGGAGUUUCACUCUUGUUGCCCAGGCUGGAGUGCAUUAUCCCAAUCUCGGCUUACUACAACCUCCGCCUCCCAGGACAAGAAGCUCCCAUCCCAGUAAGGCAAUGCAAGAACCUGAAGCAAAAUGCACCUGAGGCUUACAGUGGGGUACAGUACAGUGUCUCCUGGGAAGGUGGUCACUAAUUUAAUGGGCAGGGUGGGGAUGGGAGAAUGUUUUGAGUGAUAUUAUGGUCUGACUUGACAGUGGAGUCAGACAUGUUUGUGUUCCAAUCAGCACUGCCACUUCCUGAGUUUGUCACCUUGGAAAGAUUUUUUCACUUAUUUUGAUUUCAGUUUUUUAAUAACUGUAAGUUACAUUUCAUCAAAAGAGCUUAAAUGAUGUUUAAAAAGUCAAAGACUUUGAAAGGUAUAUUUCAGAAAAAUCUAGUCAUAUAUGUUAUUUGUUACAGAUUCUUAUUUACCUUUAUCUUCCCCAGAGUGAAUGUAGUAAGUUUCUCAUGUCUGUUUUUUCUGGUUGCAUGAUUUUUUUUUUUUUUUUUUUUUUGAGAUGGAGUCUCGCUCUGUCACCCAGGCUGGAGUGUAGUGGUGCAAUCUCGGUUCACUGCAAGCUCUGCCUCCCGGGUUCAUGCCAUUCUCCUGCCUCAGCCUCCCGAGCAGCUGGGACUACAGGCGCCCGCCACCAUGCCCGGCUAAUUUUUUGUAUUUUUAGUAGAGACGGGGUCUCACCAUGUUGGCCAGGAUGGUCUUGAUCUCCUGACCUCGUGAUCCACCCGCCUCAGCCUCCCAAAGUGUUGGGAUUACAGG